Molecule: ribosomal RNA, 400 nt
Filed under: phytoplankton environmental sample
Lineage: Eukaryota
Description: partial small subunit ribosomal RNA
Rfam family: Eukaryotic small subunit ribosomal RNA
Source: RNAcentral
AGCUCCAAUAGCGUAUAUUAAAGUUGUUGCAGUUAAAAAGCUCGUAGUUGGAUUUCGGGAUGGGCCAGUUGGUCCGCCGCAAGGUGUGUUACUGACUGGUCUGUUCUUCUUCGCAAAGACUGCGUGUGCUCUUCGUUGAGUGUGCGUAGGAUUUACGACGUUUACUUUGAAAAAAUUAGAGUGUUCAAGGCAGGCUUUGAGGCUUGAAUACAUGAGCAUGGAAUAAUGGAAUAGGACCUCGGUCCCUAUUUCGUUGGUUUUACGGACCGAAGUAAUGAUUAAGAGGGACAAUUGGGGGCAUCCGUAUUUCGUAGUCAGAGGUGAAAUUCUUGGACCUACGAAAGACGAACAACUGCGAAAGCAUUUGCCAAGAGUGUUUUCAUUAAUCAAGAACGAAAGU